GCCGCCCUAGCUCAGUCGGCAGAGCGAUUCACUCGUAAUGAAUAGGUCGGGAGUUCGAUUCUCCCGGGCGGCA
Molecule: transfer RNA, 73 nt
Filed under: Microbacteriaceae bacterium
Lineage: Bacteria; Bacillati; Actinomycetota; Actinomycetes; Micrococcales; Microbacteriaceae
Also listed under: 1 other name
Description: tRNA-Thr
Rfam family: tRNA
About the family: Transfer RNA (tRNA) molecules are approximately 80 nucleotides in length.
Source: RNAcentral